GUGAGGAAUAUUGGUCAAUGGGCGGGAGCCUGAACCAGCCAAGUCGCGUGAAGGAAGAAGGAUCUAUGGUUCGUAAACUUCUUUUGCAGGGGAAUAAAGUGCAGGACGUGUCCUGUUUUGUAUGUACCCUGAGAAUAAGGAUCGGCUAACUCCGUGCCAGCAGCCGCGGUAAUACGGAGGAUCCGAGCGUUAUCCGGAUUUAUUGGGUUUAAAGGGUGCGUAGGUGGUUUGAUAAGUCAGCGGUGAAAGUUUGCAGCUUAACUGUAAAAAUGCCGUUGAAGCUGUCGGACUUGAGUGUAAAUGAGGUAGGCGGAAUGCGUGAUGUAGCGGUGAAAUGCAUAGAUAUCACGCAGAACUCCGAUUGCGAAGGCAGCUCACAAAGCCAUCAUUGACGCUGAGGCACGAAAGUGUGGGGAUCAAACAGGAUUAGAAACCCCAGUAGUCC
RNAcentral lists this ribosomal RNA (445 nucleotides) under uncultured bacterium. RNAcentral describes it as "partial 16S ribosomal RNA". It matches the Rfam family "Bacterial small subunit ribosomal RNA", at positions 354 to 796 of the family's 1533-position model. The record is from RNAcentral.